CUUGACCCAAAUCACGUGCCAGCAGUCGCGGUAAUACGUAGAAGACUAGUGUUAUUCAUGUUUAAUCGGUUUAAAGGGUACCUAGACGGUAAAUCAAGCCUAAAAUUAAAUGAAGGGACUAAUUUACUAGAGUUACUUCUGAGGGGGUAUUAAAGUACUACUGGUGCAGAGAUGAAAUUCUGUCAUACCUCUUUUCAAUAGAAAAACAAUGGCACAGGUAUAGGCGAAAGCAUCCCCUUAUGUGAUAACUGACGUUGAGGGACGAAGGCUUUGUGUAGCGAACAGGAUUAGAGACCCCCGUAGUCAAAGCAGAAAAUGAUGAAUGUCAUAGAUUAGAUAAACAAGUUUAUUCUAUAAAUGAAAGUGUAAGCAUUCCACCUCMAGAGUAAUUUGGCAACAUUGGAACUGAAAUCAUUAGACCGUUUCUGAAACCAGUAGUGAAGUAUGUUGUUUAAUUUGAUGAUCCGCAAAAAACCUUACCACAAUUUGAAUAUUCAUAUUUUUUAUUGUCUUUUUAAUUUUCUUCUGAUUUUAUUUUUCUAAAGAAAAAAAGAAAAAAGAAAAAGAGGCGAUAUGAUAUCUUUACAAGCGUUGCCCGGCCGUCUUCAGUUAAUGUCGCGAGACUUUGGUUAGUUCC
This 637-nucleotide ribosomal RNA is filed under the name Hypogymnia hultenii. RNAcentral describes it as "partial small subunit ribosomal RNA". It matches the Rfam family "Bacterial small subunit ribosomal RNA", at positions 492 to 1087 of the family's 1533-position model. The record is from RNAcentral. Lineage: Eukaryota; Fungi; Ascomycota; Lecanoromycetes; Lecanorales; Parmeliaceae.